RNAcentral lists this ribosomal RNA (484 nucleotides) under uncultured bacterium. RNAcentral describes it as "partial 16S ribosomal RNA". It matches the Rfam family "Bacterial small subunit ribosomal RNA", at positions 28 to 507 of the family's 1533-position model. The record is from RNAcentral.
AUUGAACGCUGGCGGCAUGCUUUACACAUGCAAGUCGAACGGCAGCGCGGGCUUCGGCCUGGCGGCGAGUGGCGAACGGGUGAGUAAUUCAUCGGAACGUGCCCAGUAGUGGGGGAUAGCCCGGCGAAAGCCGGAUUAAUACCGCAUACGACCUGAGGGUGAAAGCGGGGGACCGAAAGGCCUCGCGCUCUUGGAGCGGCCGAUGUCGGAUUAGCUAGUUGGUGGGGUAAAGGCUUACCAAGGCGACGAUCCGUAGCUGGUCUGAGAGGACGACCAGCCACACUGGGACUGAGACACGGCCCAGACUCCUACGGGAGGCAGCAGUGGGGAAUUUUGGACAAUGGGGGCAACCCUGAUCCAGCCAUGCCGCGUGCGGGAAGAAGGCCUUCGGGUUGUAAACCGCUUUUGUUCGGGAAGAAAUCCUCUGGGCUAAUACCCCGGGGGGAUGACGGUACCGGAAGAAUAAGCACCGGCUAACUACGUG